Molecule: ribosomal RNA, 253 nt
Filed under: uncultured bacterium
Lineage: Bacteria
Description: partial 16S ribosomal RNA
Rfam family: Bacterial small subunit ribosomal RNA
Source: RNAcentral
UACGUAGGGCGCAAGCGUUGUCCGGAAUUAUUGGGCGUAAAGAGCUCGUAGGCGGCUUGUCACGUCGGGUGUGAAAGCCCGGGGCUUAACCCCGGGUCUGCAUUCGAUACGGGCUAGCUAGAGUGUGGUAGGGGAGAUCGGAAUUCCUGGUGUAGCGGUGAAAUGCGCAGAUAUCAGGAGGAACACCGGUGGCGAAGGCGGAUCUCUGGGCCAUUACUGACGCUGAGGAGCGAAAGCGUGGGAAGCGAACAGG